Molecule: non-coding RNA, 1148 nt
Organism: Mastomys coucha (southern multimammate mouse)
Lineage: Eukaryota; Metazoa; Chordata; Mammalia; Rodentia; Muridae
Source: the annotation of a RefSeq genome assembly
AUCACUAAGUCACUGAAAGUCCCAGCUCCAGUUUCUCAAGCAGGGCUGGAACCUAUGAGAACCUGCCUUGGUCCUGAAAUGGGUUCUAGGCUCUUCUUUGUGGUCUCCAGUCUUCUGUGUUCAAAACACAUGGAGGCUGCUGUCAUCCAAAGCCCAAGAAACAAGGUGACAGUGACAAGAGGAAAGGUGACAUUGAGCUGUCAUCAGACUAAUAACCACAACAACAUGUACUGGUAUCGGCAGGACAUGGGGCAAGGUCUGAGGCUGAUCCAUUAUUCAUAUGGUACUGACAGCACUGAGAAAGGAGAUGUCCCUGAAGGUUACAAGGCCUCCAGACCAAGCCAACAGAACUUCUCCCUCAUGCUGGAGUCUGCUUCCCAGUCUCAGACAUCUGUGUACUUCUGUGCCAGCAGUGAUGCACAGUGAUGUGUGACUUCUUCCCCUCUGCGCAGAAAGGAAAUUAGGAGAAGAAAGUGUCUGUGUGUCCUAGAAAGUCCCCGCCUCUCUAAGAGUCACUGAGCUCUGACAAACUAGGAGCCUUACAACAUAGGUCUCAGCCUGACUAGAGGCCACUCUAACACCUCUUUAUAAGUGCUGGUCUCCUCUCUGAAUUUUUUUUCAGAGAGUAAAAUCAUUCUUUAGUUGGAGUUCAUGAUGACCUCUUUAAUGACCUUAUAGCCACCUGUGGGCUUCAAUGACCUCUUCAGCCCCUUUUUGCCAACUGUGUUAAUUAUGUGAUCUCUUUUCUGGAUAUAUUAAAUAGUAGCUCAUGUUUUUGUUUUUUGUUUUUUGGGGUUUUUUGUUUGUUUGUUUGUUUGUUUUCUGUAUUCCCCUUCCCUGGUUCAUUCUACCUAAAUUUAUCUGCAGUCAGUACUUACUCAUGUGUGCUGUGAUGUUUUUGACCAUGAGAUAUUUGUCCAAGUCAAUUCCUGGGCACUAAAGACAUACCUUUCCCUCUUAUUUCCGGAACUCAUUUUCCCUUGAAUAUAUGCUUCAGGAAGAAUUAUUUUUCUCUAUCCUUUUUAAGAUAUUAGUUUAGUUAUGUUGUUUCCUCCCCUACUUCUCCCUCUAUUUACUUCAUGGUCUCUAUUCUUUAGUUAUUAUUUUAAAUUUUUGUGUUUGUGGUGUGAAUAAAUAUAUGAAUACAG